This 497-nucleotide ribosomal RNA is filed under the name uncultured bacterium. RNAcentral's name for it is "partial 16S ribosomal RNA". It matches the Rfam family "Bacterial small subunit ribosomal RNA", at positions 28 to 507 of the family's 1533-position model. The record is from RNAcentral.
GAUGAACGCUGGCGGCGUGCCUAGUACAUGCAAGUCGAGCGAACAGACGAGGAGCUUGCUCCUCUGACGUUAGCGGCGGACGGGUGAGUAACACGUGGAUAACCUACCUAUAAGACUGGGAUAACUUCGGGAAACCGGAGCUAAUACCGGAUAAUAUAUUGAACCGCAUGGUUCAAUAGUGAAAGACGGUUUUGCUGUCACUUAUAGAUGGAUCCGCGCCGCAUUAGCUAGUUGGUAAGGUAACGGCUUACCAAGGCAACGAUGCGUAGCCGACCUGAGAGGGUGAUCGGCCACACUGGAACUGAGACGCGGUCCAGACUCCUACGGGAGGCAGCAGUAUGGAAUCUUCCGCAAUGGGCGAAAGCCUGACAGAGCAACGCCGCGUGAGUGAUGAAGGUCUUCGGAUCGUAAAACUCUGUUAUUAGGGAAGAACAAAUGUGUAAGUAACUAUGCACUUCUUGACGGUACCUAAUCAGAAAGCCACGGCUAACUACGUG